Molecule: ribosomal RNA, 2892 nt
Filed under: Klebsiella pneumoniae
Lineage: Bacteria; Pseudomonadati; Pseudomonadota; Gammaproteobacteria; Enterobacterales; Enterobacteriaceae
Description: bacterial LSU rRNA
Rfam family: Bacterial large subunit ribosomal RNA
Source: RNAcentral
UUAAGCGACUAAGCGUACACGGUGGAUGCCCUGGCAGUCAGAGGCGAUGAAGGACGUGCUAAUCUGCGAAAAGCGUCGGUAAGGUGAUAUGAACCGUUAUAACCGGCGAUGUCCGAAUGGGGAAACCCAGUGCAAUUCGUUGCACUAUCGUUAACUGAAUACAUAGGUUAACGAGGCGAACCGGGGGAACUGAAACAUCUAAGUACCCCGAGGAAAAGAAAUCAACCGAGAUUCCCCCAGUAGCGGCGAGCGAACGGGGAGCAGCCCAGAGUCUGAAUCAGCUUGUGUGUUAGUGGAACGGUCUGGAAAGUCCGACGGUACAGGGUGAUAGUCCCGUACACCAAAAUGCACAGGUUGUGAACUCGAAGAGUAGGGCGGGACACGUGGUAUCCUGUCUGAAUAUGGGGGGACCAUCCUCCAAGGCUAAAUACUCCUGACUGACCGAUAGUGAACCAGUACCGUGAGGGAAAGGCGAAAAGAACCCCGGCGAGGGGAGUGAAAAAGAACCUGAAACCGUGUACGUACAAGCAGUGGGAGCACCUUCGGGUGUGACUGCGUACCUUUUGUAUAAUGGGUCAGCGACUUAUAUUCUGUAGCAAGGUUAACCGUAUAGGGGAGCCGCAGGAAACCGAGUCUUAACUGGGCGUUAAGUUGCAGGGUAUAGACCCGAAACCCGGUGAUCAGCCAUGGGCAGGUUGAAGGUUGGGUAACACUAACUGGAGGACCGAACCGACUAAUGUUGAAAAAUUAGCGGAUGACUUGUGGCUGGGGGUGAAAGGCCAAUCAAACCGGGAGAUAGCUGGUUCUCCCCGAAAGCUAUUUAGGUAGCGCCUCGUGAAUUCAUCUUCGGGGGUAGAGCACUGUUUCGGCUAGGGGGUCAUCCCGACUUACCAACCCGAUGCAAACUACGAAUACCGAAGAAUGUUAUCACGGGAGACACACGGCGGGUGCUAACGUCCGUCGUGAAGAGGGAAACAACCCAGACCGCCAGCUAAGGUCCCAAAGUCAUGGUUAAGUGGGAAACGAUGUGGGAAGGCACAGACAGCCAGGAUGUUGGCUUAGAAGCAGCCAUCAUUUAAAGAAAGCGUAAUAGCUCACUGGUCGAGUCGGCCUGCGCGGAAGAUGUAACGGGGCUAAACCAUGCACCGAAGCUGCGGCAGCGACACUAUGUGUUGUUGGGUAGGGGAGCGUUCUGUAAGCCUGCGAAGGUGUGCUGUGAGGCAUGCUGGAGGUAUCAGAAGUGCGAAUGCUGACAUAAGUAACGAUAAAGCGGGUGAAAAGCCCGCUCGCCGGAAGACCAAGGGUUCCUGUCCAACGUUAAUCGGGGCAGGGUGAGUCGACCCCUAAGGCGAGGCCGAAAGGCGUAGUCGAUGGGAAACAGGUUAAUAUUCCUGUACUUGGUGUUACUGCGAAGGGGGGACGGAGAAGGCUAUGUUAGCCGGGCGACGGUUGUCCCGGUUUAAGCAUGUAGGCUGGUUAUCCAGGCAAAUCCGGAUAAUCAAGGCUGAGGUGUGAUGACGAGGCACUACGGUGCUGAAGUAACAAAUGCCCUGCUUCCAGGAAAAGCCUCUAAGCAUCAGGUAACAUCAAAUCGUACCCCAAACCGACACAGGUGGUCAGGUAGAGAAUACCAAGGCGCUUGAGAGAACUCGGGUGAAGGAACUAGGCAAAAUGGUGCCGUAACUUCGGGAGAAGGCACGCUGGUGUAGGUGAAGCCUGCGGGUGGAGCUGAGACCAGUCGAAGAUACCAGCUGGCUGCAACUGUUUAUUAAAACACAGCACUGUGCAAACACGAAAGUGGACGUAUACGGUGUGACGCCUGCCCGGUGCCGGAAGGUUAAUUGAUGGGGUUAUCCGUAAGGAGAAGCUCUUGAUCGAAGCCCCGGUAAACGGCGGCCGUAACUAUAACGGUCCUAAGGUAGCGAAAUUCCUUGUCGGGUAAGUUCCGACCUGCACGAAUGGCGUAAUGAUGGCCAGGCUGUCUCCACCCGAGACUCAGUGAAAUUGAACUCGCUGUGAAGAUGCAGUGUACCCGCGGCAAGACGGAAAGACCCCGUGAACCUUUACUAUAGCUUGACACUGAACAUUGAGCCUUGAUGUGUAGGAUAGGUGGGAGGCUUUGAAGCGUGGACGCCAGUCUGCGUGGAGCCAACCUUGAAAUACCACCCUUUAAUGUUUGAUGUUCUAACGUUGGCCCCUUACCGGGGUUGCGGACAGUGUCUGGUGGGUAGUUUGACUGGGGCGGUCUCCUCCUAAAGCGUAACGGAGGAGCACGAAGGUUAGCUAAUCCUGGUCGGACAUCAGGAGGUUAGUGCAAUGGCAUAAGCUAGCUUGACUGCGAGCGUGACGGCGCGAGCAGGUGCGAAAGCAGGUCAUAGUGAUCCGGUGGUUCUGAAUGGAAGGGCCAUCGCUCAACGGAUAAAAGGUACUCCGGGGAUAACAGGCUGAUACCGCCCAAGAGUUCAUAUCGACGGCGGUGUUUGGCACCUCGAUGUCGGCUCAUCACAUCCUGGGGCUGAAGUAGGUCCCAAGGGUAUGGCUGUUCGCCAUUUAAAGUGGUACGCGAGCUGGGUUUAGAACGUCGUGAGACAGUUCGGUCCCUAUCUGCCGUGGGCGCUGGAGAAUUGAGGGGGGCUGCUCCUAGUACGAGAGGACCGGAGUGGACGCAUCACUGGUGUUCGGGUUGUCAUGCCAAUGGCACUGCCCGGUAGCUAAAUGCGGAAGAGAUAAGUGCUGAAAGCAUCUAAGCACGAAACUUGCCCCGAGAUGAGUUCUCCCUGAGACUUUAAGUCUCCUGAAGGAACGUUGAAGACGACGACGUUGAUAGGCCGGGUGUGUAAGCGCAGCGAUGCGUUGAGCUAACCGGUACUAAUGAACCGUGAGGCUUAACCU